UACGAAGGUGGCAAGCGUUGUUCGGAUUUACUGGGCGUAAAGGGCUCGUAGGCGGCCAACUAAGUCAGACGUGAAAUCCCCAGGCUCAACCUGGGAACUGCGUCUGAUACUGGAUGGCUUGAAUCCGGGAGAGGGAUGCAGAAUUCCAGGUGUAGCGGUGAAAUGCGUAGAUAUCUGGAGGAAUACCGGAGGCGAAGGCGGCUACCUGGACAAUUGCUGACGCUCAGGCACGAAAGCGUGGGGAGCAAAAGGG
RNAcentral lists this ribosomal RNA (253 nucleotides) under uncultured bacterium. RNAcentral describes it as "partial 16S ribosomal RNA". It matches the Rfam family "Bacterial small subunit ribosomal RNA", at positions 524 to 776 of the family's 1533-position model. The record is from RNAcentral.